RNAcentral lists this unclassified non-coding RNA (253 nucleotides) under uncultured Chlamydiales bacterium. RNAcentral describes it as "contains 16S-23S intergenic spacer region". It matches the Rfam family "Bacterial small subunit ribosomal RNA", at positions 524 to 776 of the family's 1533-position model. Lineage: Bacteria; Pseudomonadati; Chlamydiota; Chlamydiia; Chlamydiales. The record is from RNAcentral.
UACGGAGGGUGCAAGCAUUAAUCGGAUUUAUUGGGCGUAAAGGGCGUGUAGGCUGAGAUGAAAGUCGGAUGUUAAAGACCGGAGCUCAACUCCGGGAAAGCAUUUGAAACUCCAUUUCUAGAGGAUAGGCGGAGAAAACGGAAUUCCACAAGUAGCGGUGAAAUGCGUAGAUAUGUGGAGGAACACCCGUGGCGAAAGCGGUUUUCUAGCUUAUACCUGACGCUGAGGCGCGAAAGCAAGGGGAGCAAACAGG